UACGUAGGGUGCGAGCGUUGUCCGGAAUUACUGGGCGUAAAGAGCUCGUAGGCGGUCUGUCGCGUCUGCUGUGAAAACUCAGGCUUAACCCUGAGCUUGCAGUGGGUACGGGCAGACUAGAGUGGCGGUAGGGGAGACUGGAAUUCCUGGUGUAGCGGUGAAAUGCGCAGAUAUCUGGAGGAAUACCGGUGGCGAAAGGCGGCAUCCUGGA
This 211-nucleotide ribosomal RNA is filed under the name uncultured bacterium. Its description in RNAcentral is "partial 16S ribosomal RNA". It matches the Rfam family "Bacterial small subunit ribosomal RNA", at positions 524 to 733 of the family's 1533-position model. The record is from RNAcentral.